UCCUGCAGCUGAUGACAUAGUUGUUUUCCCCUCAGAUCGACCCUAUUGAUCUAACUGAACUAUUUAUUAGCCAGUUUUGUCUGACGCAUUGGA
This is a small nucleolar RNA of Manis pentadactyla (Chinese pangolin), 93 nucleotides long. RefSeq annotates it as small nucleolar SNORD12/SNORD106. The record is from RefSeq and is a predicted model, not a curated record. Lineage: Eukaryota; Metazoa; Chordata; Mammalia; Pholidota; Manidae. The transcript has a single exon.